RNAcentral lists this ribosomal RNA (424 nucleotides) under uncultured Alistipes sp. RNAcentral's name for it is "bacterial SSU rRNA". It matches the Rfam family "Bacterial small subunit ribosomal RNA", at positions 338 to 759 of the family's 1533-position model. The record is from RNAcentral. Lineage: Bacteria; Pseudomonadati; Bacteroidota; Bacteroidia; Bacteroidales; Rikenellaceae.
CCUACGGGCGGCAGCAGUGAGGAAUAUUGGUCAAUGGGCGAGAGCCUGAACCAGCCAAGUAGCGUGAAGGAUGACUGCCCUAUGGGUUGUAAACUUCUUUUAUAAAGGAAUAAAGUGAGGCACGUGUGCCUUUUUGUAUGUACUUUAUGAAUAAGGAUCGGCUAACUCCGUGCCAGCAGCCGCGGUAAUACGGAGGAUCCGAGCGUUAUCCGGAUUUAUUGGGUUUAAAGGGAGCGUAGGUGGACAGUUAAGUCAGUUGUGAAAGUUUGCGGCUCAACCGUAAAAUUGCAGUUGAUACUGGCUGUCUUGAGUACAGUAGAGGUGGGCGGAAUUCGUGGUGUAGCGGUGAAAUGCUUAGAUAUCACGAAGAACUCCGAUUGCGAAGGCAGCUCACUAGACUGCAACUGACACUGAUGCUCGAAAG